Molecule: ribosomal RNA, 88 nt
Filed under: Phocaeicola vulgatus
Lineage: Bacteria; Pseudomonadati; Bacteroidota; Bacteroidia; Bacteroidales; Bacteroidaceae
Description: Bacteroides vulgatus partial 16S ribosomal RNA
Source: RNAcentral
CUACAGGGUGAUGCUGAGGACUCUGACAAGACUGCCAUCGUAAGAUGUGAGGAAGGUGGGGAAUGACGUCAAAUCAGCACGGCCCUUA